Molecule: ribosomal RNA, 448 nt
Filed under: Ceylonthelphusa sp. LMT-2014
Lineage: Eukaryota; Metazoa; Arthropoda; Malacostraca; Decapoda; Parathelphusidae
Description: partial 12S small subunit ribosomal RNA
Source: RNAcentral
AAAGGUGAAAUUAAUUAUAUUAUUUAUAGUAAAAAUUUAAGUAGAAGCUAGGAAGUCUUAAGGAUAAACUAGGAUUAGAUACCCUACUAUAUUAAGAUUAAAUUAAAUGUACUUGAUUAUUAAUAGUUAUUUUCUAAAAAUUUAAAGAAUUUGGCGGUGAUUUAGACUUAUUAGAGGAACCUGUUUUUUAAUUGAUACACCACGUAAUAUCUUACUUGAGUUUGUAUACCAUCAUUACAGAUAAUUUUUAAAAAAAUAAUUAUUAAAAUUAAUAAUUACGAUUAAAUAAAUUAGAUCAAGGUGCAGCUAAUAAAUAAGUUAAAAUGGGUUACAAUAAAAUUUAUUUAUUAUGGAUAUAUUUAUAUGGAAGGAGGAUUUAAUUGUAUAUAAGUUUAAUAAGCUUAAAUGAUAUAGGCUCUAAAUCAUGUACAUAUCGCCCGUCGCUUUC